Molecule: ribosomal RNA, 502 nt
Filed under: uncultured bacterium
Lineage: Bacteria
Description: bacterial SSU rRNA
Rfam family: Bacterial small subunit ribosomal RNA
Source: RNAcentral
GAUGAACGCUAGCGGCAGGCCUAAUACAUGCAAGACGAACGGUAAGUUGAGUAGCAAUACUUAGCCAAGAGUGUCGUACGGGUGCGUAACACGUAUGCAACCUACCCUAUACAGGAGGAUAGCCUAGGGAAACCUGGAUUAACCCUUCAUAGUAUUAUUGGAUGGCAUCAUUUGAUAAUUAAAACUGAGGUGGUAUAGGAUGGGCAUGCGUCUGAUUAGUUAGUUGGCGGGGUAAUGGCCCACCAAGACGAUGACCAGUAGGGGUUCUGAGAGGAAGAUCCCCCCACACUGGCACUGAGAUACGGGCCAGACUCCUACGGGAGACAGCAGUAGGGAAUAUUGGGUCAAUGGAUGCAAGUCUGAACCAGCCAUGCCGCGUGCAGGAAGAAGGCCUUCUGGGUUGUAAACUGCUUUUGCCAGGGGAUAAAAUUUCCAUGCGUGGAAAACUGAAGGUACCUGGUGAAUAAGCCACGGCUAACUACGUGCCAGCAGCCGCGGUAAU